AGUCCACGCCGUAAACGGUGGGCACUAGUUGUGGGAACCUUCCACGGUUUCUGCGACGCAGCUAACGCAUUAAGUGCCCCGCCUGGGGAGUACGAUCGCAAGAUUAAAACUCAAAGGAAUUGACGGGGCCCCGCACAAGCAGCGGAGCAUGCGGCUUAAUUCGACGCAACGCGAAGAACCUUACCAAGGCUUGACAUAUACAGGAAUAUGGCAGAAAUGUCAUAGCCGCAAGGUCUGUAUACAGGUGGUGCAUGGUUGUCGUCAGCUCGUGUCGUGAGAUGUUGGGUUAAGUCCCGCAACGAGCGCAACCCUCGUUCUGUGUUGCCAGCAUUUAGUUGGGGACUCACAGGAGACUGCCGGGGUUAACUCGGAGGAAGGUGGGGAUGACGUCAAAUCAUCAUGCCCCUUAUGUCUUGGGCUGCACGCAUGCUACAAUGGCUGGUACAAACGGCUGCGAUACCGCAAGGUGGAGCGAAUCCGAUAAAGCCAGUCUCAGUUCGGAUUGGGGUCUGCAACUCGACCCCAUGAAGUCGGAGUUGCUAGUAAUCGUAGAUCAGCAACGCUACGGUGAAUACGUUCCCGGGGCUUGUACACACCGCCCGUCACGUCACGAAAGUCGGUAACACCCGAA
This 631-nucleotide ribosomal RNA is filed under the name uncultured Actinomycetes bacterium. RNAcentral's name for it is "bacterial SSU rRNA". It matches the Rfam family "Bacterial small subunit ribosomal RNA", at positions 792 to 1425 of the family's 1533-position model. The record is from RNAcentral. Lineage: Bacteria; Bacillati; Actinomycetota; Actinomycetes.